RNAcentral lists this ribosomal RNA (1369 nucleotides) under uncultured bacterium. RNAcentral's name for it is "bacterial SSU rRNA". It matches the Rfam family "Bacterial small subunit ribosomal RNA". The record is from RNAcentral.
AGAGUUUGUCCUGGCUCAGAACGAACGCUGGCGGCGUGGAUAAGACAUGCAAGUCGAACGAGAGAAUUGCUAGCUUGCUAAUAAUUCUCUAGUGGCGCACGGGUGAGUAACACGUGAGUAACCUGCCCCCGAGAGCGGGAUAGCCCUGGGAAACUGGGAUUAAUACCGCAUAGUAUCGAAAGAUUAAAGCAGCAAUGCGCUUGGGGAUGGGCUCGCGGCCUAUUAGUUAGUUGGUGAGGUAACGGCUCACCAAGGCGAUGACGGGUAGCCGGUCUGAGAGGAUGUCCGGCCACACUGGAACUGAGACACGGUCCAGACACCUACGGGUGGCAGCAGUCGAGAAUCAUUCACAAUGGGGGAAACCCUGAUGGUGCGACGCCGCGUGGGGGAAUGAAGGUCUUCGGAUUGUAAACCCCUGUCAUGUGGGAGCAAAUUAAAAAGAUAGUACCACAAGAGGAAGAGACGGCUAACUCUGUGCCAGCAGCCGCGGUAAUACAGAGGUCUCAAGCGUUGUUCGGAAUCACUGGGCGUAAAGCGUGCGUAGGCUGUUUCGUAAGUCGUGUGUGAAAGGCGCGGGCUCAACCCGCGGACGGCACAUGAUACUGCGAGACUAGAGUAAUGGAGGGGGAACCGGAAUUCUCGGUGUAGCAGUGAAAUGCGUAGAUAUCGAGAGGAACACUCGUGGCGAAGGCGGGUUCCUGGACAUUAACUGACGCUGAGGCACGAAGGCCAGGGGAGCGAAAGGGAUUAGAUACCCCUGUAGUCCUGGCAGUAAACGGUGCACGCUUGGUGUGCGGGGAAUCGACCCCCUGCGUGCCGGAGCUAACGCGUUAAGCGUGCCGCCUGGGGAGUACGGUCGCAAGAUUAAAACUCAAAGAAAUUGACGGGGACCCGCACAAGCGGUGGAGUAUGUGGCUUAAUUCGAUGCAACGCGAAGAACCUUACCUGGGCUUGACAUGUAAUGAACAACAUGUGAAAGCAUGCGACUCUUCGGAGGCGUUACACAGGUGCUGCAUGGCCGUCGUCAGCUCGUGUCGUGAGAUGUUUGGUUAAGUCCAGCAACGAGCGCAACCCCUGUUGCCAGUUACCAGCACGUGAAGGUGGGGACUCUGGCGAGACUGCCCAGAUCAACUGGGAGGAAGGUGGGGACGACGUCAGGUCAGUAUGGCCCUUAUGCCCAGGGCUGCACACGUACUACAAUGCCCAGUACAGAGGGGGCCGAAGCCGCGAGGCGGAGGAAAUCCUAAAAACUGGGCCCAGUUCGGACUGUAGGCUGCAACCCGCCUACACGAAGCCGGAAUCGCUAGUAAUGGCGCAUCAGCUACGGCGCCGUGAAUACGUUCCCGGGUCUUGCACUCACCGCCCGUCA